UACGGGGGGGGCAAGCGUUGUUCGGAAUUACUGGGCGUAAAGGGCUCGUAGGCGGCCAACUAAGUCGGAUGUGAAAUCCCCAGGCUUAACCUGGGAACUGCAUCCGAUACUGGAUGGCUUGAAUCCGGGAGAGGGAUGCAGAAUUCCAGGUGUAGCGGUGAAAUGCGUAGAUAUCUGGAGGAAUACCGGUGGCGAAGGCGGCAUCCUGGACCGGCAUUGACGCUGAUGAGCGAAAGCUGGGGGAGCGAACGGG
Molecule: ribosomal RNA, 253 nt
Filed under: uncultured bacterium
Lineage: Bacteria
Description: partial 16S ribosomal RNA
Rfam family: Bacterial small subunit ribosomal RNA
Source: RNAcentral